This 953-nucleotide long non-coding RNA is filed under the name Lepisosteus oculatus (spotted gar). RNAcentral describes it as "lncRNA (ENSLOCG00000022261.1)". The record is from RNAcentral. Lineage: Eukaryota; Metazoa; Chordata; Actinopteri; Semionotiformes; Lepisosteidae.
CGCACCUGUGCGCCAGGUUCAGCUGGAGAGAGCGGAGCUGAGUGAGUUUGUUCCGCGUCUUUUAUGAUUAUGUUUUAUUUUCCUUUAUUUGAAUGUAGAUAACAUUUAAGGUCAUUAUGUAGAAUAAACCUUACAUGAGAAAAGGGUAAAACACGUAUUUUCGUUGGGAGCUAAAUAGCAUUUUUCAUGCGCCUUUGUUCACAAAACUAAGCGUGUGCAUUCUUCCAAACCUGCGUUUGGAAAGGACUUUGAAAAGUAGCUUUGUAAAGAUUUUCGUUAUUUUCCAGAGUUUGCUCUUACAUUCGUAAUAUAAUUGUCGCUUGCAAUUAACCUUUUAAUGGGCUUAAAAUUGUAAAUUUUGCUAUUCUCAGUUUAGGGAAGGACACGAUUCGCAUUAAAUAUUGGGAGUUUAAACGUAAGUAUGAACAUUUUAUUCAUUUCUUUACAAGUAUCUCAUUCAAAUAUAUUUUGCGCUAUCUGCCCUAGUGAAAACGCCGUUUGCUAAGAAACCUUGGUUUAAUUUAUCUUUAAAUAAUCGUCUAAAUACUUGUGUUCUUGUGUUUCCAGUUCGGUGUCUGCGGACAGGACAUGCUUGGCUCAGCUACUGGAAUUAUCAAUGAAAUGCAACGAAGUUCCAGUCUUCAUUCCGGUCGCUGCCUCGACUGAUAACUCGGAGAAACAGUAACGUGCUGUGUGUUUCUGUAUCUUAACUUGUAGUUGUUUGCAAAUGUUUUCUUACUCUGUUGACUUGUAACAGUAUUUUGCGUUAAUGUAGCCGUGCUUUGACACUUCGUAAUUGAAAUGCUUGUUCAUUUUCACUUUGAAGCCUGUGCAUCCGACUUAUUGUAAUGCUUUGUUUUGUAUGCCAUUUUCGCUCAAUAAAUGGUUGAUUGAACCUUGAUUUUGUUCUUUGAUUUCUUGUGCAGAGUUUUGUUCCCCCUUGGCCCUGAAAA